This is a long non-coding RNA of Teleopsis dalmanni, 1414 nucleotides long. RefSeq lists it as uncharacterized. The transcript is spliced from 3 exons. Lineage: Eukaryota; Metazoa; Arthropoda; Insecta; Diptera; Diopsidae. The record is from RefSeq and is a predicted model, not a curated record.
CAAACAUUCUUCUAUAAAUACAACAUAUCAAAUAAUUUGAAGUAGCCCUUCAAUCAACCUUGUUAGAGCAUUUCCGAGAGAUAGAAACUCGUGGAGUGGUGGUUUUUGUUAAAUGGAACAUGAACACACCUUUUUUUGGCAUUAAAUUACUUUUAAGGUUUCCUCGUUUAUUAUGCAUAAUUUCAUUAUUAAGAGAGUAGUGCAAACCCAGUAAACAUCUUCAUUACCUUAUACUCUUUUGUGGUAUAUGGAAUCAUAAAUCAAAUGAGCUCCCACAUUUCCAUAACCUGAACUUGUUAGUUUCGCUUUUGAAAACGCGGUGUGAAAUGAAAUAAAACCCAAAAUUGAAAAUAAAUAAAAAAGUGCUCUUUUUUCCAUCGUAAAUAUGUUUAUAGAUUAAACCGCAACCCUUGUUGAAAUCAUAAUUGGUAGUCCGUCCAACUCCUUUUCGAUUUCAAACGACUUCAGUGCACGCUUAAAUCCUGCAAAUAAUGAAAUAGAUUUGAAGACUUGUGUAAAUAUGGAACGUGGCACCUUUUAAAAACAGUUUAUUGUUACCACGCGGCCAUCGUAUAUGGUGAACCGCAACGCAAGGGAGUGCCGAGUAGUUGCACUUGAAACAUUUAAAGAAAAAUACCAACCGUUUGGUGGCUGUUGCAGCUGCGUGUCUAUGAAUGCAUUCACUUUUAGGAACUGGGUUAGGCCUAAAUGUGUUGCACUUAUUGCUCUUGGGAAAUCGAAUUGGUCGUUGACAAAAUGUUGUCCGCACAUUUAUUAUUUCAACUAUUCAAAUGCAUCACUGACCAUCUCUUUGCAUACGGAAAAUACUGAGCGGAUAAGGUUUCAUAUAUCACGAAUAUAUUAUGGAAACAAAAUUGCAUUGAGAGGAAGGAAAACAGAAUAUACAGCGAAGUAUAACUAAUAACAUUUCUACUAACAACGGGAGAAGGACGCGAGGUAGACAAUGACGGUAAUCUUCAUGGUGGAAAAAUUCGAUAUGAUUCAGCUGACCUACGUGGUACUGUAAGUAGUGGUGUGUGUGCUGAAGCUGGUGGAAUAAGUACACAUGAGGAAGUUGACGAAUAGGCCAUUAAAUCUUAUUAUAACGAACCCGUACCCCUUUUUCGCCGUGCAGAACGCGUUCAAUCCGAACAUGAUGAACUCAUCAUGACGUACAUGCUCAAGGAGAGAGUUUGGAGUAUCGAUUAUCAGUGAACCAGAUGAAAUUUAUGUUGCUAAUAAAUAAUAUGCAGACUACAAGCAGACUAGACUUAAAACCUUAAAACUUUUAAUAUGGUGGAAUAAUAUUUUACAAACACUCAAAAAGUGUGGGACUUUGGACAUACCUGUACAUCGGAAUGAUCAAAAUCGAAUUCCGUAUCGAAUCCUUAGUUGCCAUAUAAAUUGUACAAUU